GGAUUGUGGCUCAGUGGUAGUGCACUUGCCUAGCACAUGCGAGGCGCUGAGUUCAAUCCUCAGCACCA
Molecule: transfer RNA, 68 nt
Filed under: Marmota monax (woodchuck)
Lineage: Eukaryota; Metazoa; Chordata; Mammalia; Rodentia; Sciuridae
Description: tRNA.Ala
Source: RNAcentral